Mercenaria mercenaria is the source of this 4392-nucleotide long non-coding RNA. RefSeq lists it as uncharacterized. The transcript has 2 exons. NCBI's taxonomy places the organism in Eukaryota, Metazoa, Mollusca, Bivalvia, Venerida, Veneridae. The record is from RefSeq and is a predicted model, not a curated record.
CAAGGAAUGAAAAUUUAAUCACCAGACAGGCACUAAAUGAACUAUGGCGUUCGAAUAGGACAGAAGAAGUUUUUGCAGAAUGUGAUAAGAUAUGUGCUUUCCUGAUGCAGACUUUAAAGUCUAUUAUUCAUGUAUAUCCAACCUACGGCGGAAAAAAUAAAGACAAUGUAGAAUUUGUAGUACUCACUAACAAGAAACUUCGUCGUCCAAAAAAUAUCAAAUAUGCUCUCCAUAUAAGGAAAGUAAAAGAAUGUUCAGGUGAAAGUAUAGCUAUUAUGCGAAGUGAAAAAUAUAGGCGUAACAAAUAUAGGCUGAGCCCAAAGAAGGCAAAAGUUAUCAGGGAAGUCAUUAAUAAAAAUGCUAAAGAGCUGAUGUCAAAUCAUAAAUAUUUGUCCGUGAUUACCGGGAGUGGAAUACGAUCGAAGAAUUACGGCGGAAAAGAACACCUUAUAAAAUCCGAGCCUUGUAUUGCUAUGUAUGUUUGUAUAAAAGGUAAAAUACCGUUAGCUGAGGAAGAACUACCAAAAGAGAUAAACGGAAUCCCAGUUGAUGUGAGAGAGGGCUUCUUCCAAAACAGUAUUUCAACUGCCGAUGAAUAUCAGAAGAAACUACGCCUAGGGUGCCAGAUUAAAUCGGACGUAGGUGCGAAUGGUAUUGGAACACUCGCCGGAUUUGUAGAUCGAAAAGAAUACGGCUUGUGUGGUGUAACAUGCGCUCAUGUUGUUCUGAACGAAAGAGAAUUACAUGAUCACAGGAGCGCAGAAAAAAAAAACAUGGGAAGUUGGAAAGCGAUAUAUAUACCAACCAGCAAACAUUCGUCCGAAAAACCGUGUAGGUUCCUUAAGAGAAACCUUCUAUAAUUCAGGCAACAAGCGCAACGCUGGUGUUGACCUUGCUCUUUUUGAAAUUGAAAAGAGACACCCGGAUUCAGGUGAAUUUUCCGAAACAAGUGAAAACUUGCGCUUCGAUACCGGACGCCUUGUAAGAGAAUCUCAGUUGAAUAUAUACAAGGGAGAAGUACUGAAGUAUGGACAAACUACUGGCCGAACUGAGGGUGUCCUAGAGUUUUUGGGCACUGCUGUAAAAAGGAUUGAAUUUAAUAGGAAGUAUACUAUAAACGACAAGGAACUCACCUAUACCCUUUUUGACCAGCUUGAAAUACGACAAAAAUUUGGGCACGAUCUUUUCUCUGACGACGGAGAUUCUUGAGCCUUAGUGUUUACUGAAACCGUAAAUAAGGAGCUUGCUUGCCUUGGUAUGAUUGUGGGAACCUUAAAUUUCAAUGAUGGGACUACACGUAGAGGAAACAGUAUUGUUACGCCCGCGUCGGCAAUCAUGGAUAGACUUGGUAUUUCUGAACUUAAAAGUUUUGUUUGGAACAGGAUUGAUCGUGUGGAAAAAAGCAUUAGCAAUAUCAACAGGCGUCUUGGGCUGUUAAAAAACAUUAACACGCGCAUGAAAAAAAUUGAAAAAAUGCUUCAGAAAAAAAGUUAGAAUUUUCACGAUCAAGUCCGGGGCAAAAAUGCGUAGGAUAUUGAUUGCAUAGACGGUGAAGACAGACAAGAACAAAAGGUUUGCCAUGAAACUACGACUUAAAUAUUACUGUAUGCAUACAGACACUAAAUCGGGAAAUGACGCGAAAAAUGCUGUUCGCAUUAUGGCGGAUACAAAUAGUCCUCCGUUUGUUUGCUCUGUAGUUAUUUUUCUUAUUUUCUUUCUGAUUUUUCUGCUGAAAUCCCAUGUUAGAUCUAUGCAUAACAUGUAGGUAGCAUUUUCAUAAUGAGAUAACUUCAUGGAAACAUAGAUCAUUUUGGGGUCUCAAUUUUUAGCUGAUUUUGUAGUUUGUGUGUUUGACUGUAAAUAUUUCUCUUGCAUCGAAUAUGACCCCUACUUUUCUUUUGAUUUUUAUUCAGCACUGACAAUAUUUUUCAAGAAAAUUUAAGUUACAGACAUCAACAUUGGUCCUGAUGUGUGCUGCCGCCAUUGGAAAUAUUUCAAUUAUAUAUAGAAUGCCUACAUAUUGAUGUCGUGAAUUACAGCCAAGCAUUUGUGACAUGAGUUAGUUUCACAUUUUACUAAAUGAUCUCGUAUAUUUAUGUUUGAUAAGCCGUCAGUCAUCUUACUUUCAGUUUUAACUUUUCUAUGGUGUUACACAAUUGUCUUGUGUUUAGAUUAGUAAUAAAUAUGCAUUAUAAUGAAAUGUUUUAAAAAGGCACAUUUUUUGAGGUUUUACCCAAAUUUAUACGAAAUAUUUUUUAUGAAAUGAUUGAUUACAGGGGUAUUUAAGAUCUAUUUUGUACAAUUACUAAUGUUUAAUUCUAUAAAUCGUUCAUCCAUAAAAAUGAAUUACUUUAGGUAGAAUCUUACGUGUUUUGAUAAAUUUGAUGUGAUAUGUGAGUUAAAAUCAGGUGAAUUCUUUUUCUACAAUUAGUGAACUAGAAAAGUCUUCUUUUUUUUGUUUUACAGAUAUAGAUUCUUUGAGUGGCUGAUUUUUUUUAAAAAAUAAAGGCACACGCUCGUUGGUUUUAUAACGUCACUAGAAAUUUCGGAGUACUUCUUUCAAUAAUUAAUUACAAGAUGAAUUCAUAAACAUUUUGUAUCUCUAAAACGAUACAGUAUAUUUCUUUUCUUGUGAAAUAUUUUAGAAUUCUCGAUAACGAAACAGGCUUGAGGAAAGCUUUCAUAUGCAUCGACAGUAUGCGUCUGCUGACAAAUUCCCAAAAUUUUAAGGCAAUUAUGCGUUUCAACUGGUGGCUGAUUUCUGUCGUGUCGUUUUGGCGUCUUUGCGGAGCGAAAACACGACAAUACAAAAAUCCUACGCAUUUUACACAAAAACACCUUGUCUAAAAGGCAGAAACACGAAAUACUUAUUUGUCGAGUUUUCUAGUUGUUGGGUAUGAAUAAGUCGUGUUAGUGUCCUCAAAUGAUGUGCUGUCGUAUUGUCUUGACAUCGCAACAUACCUUAUUUGUCGAGUAUUUCCCAACCAACAGGAAAACACGAAAAAUACCUUAUUUUUAAGAUGACAAAGAGAUCUGGUCUGAUGAUAAUCAAUAUAGCGAACAGUAAGAAAACGGCCAACCUAGCGCUCACAUUUAGCGUAGGUAACGUACAAGGUAAUGAUAAGGAAAAUGUCUCCCGUUACAGCUUUUCUUUUUCCAGCAAAAGAGCUCAGAUUCUCUAGCUCUACCUACAAGGCUGUUUGAAACGUUUCACCCGCCGUUUAAAUUUGAAAACCUAAUCAUAACAUAUCUAUCCACAUGAUCGGGACUUUUUAUCUUUUUUGUUUUGUAAUGCAACAUAUAUACAAAUCAUGUUAAAUACGUGUACUAGGUUGGUAUGACAAUGCGGCAAUGCAACAAGAUUAUUUGAUGGAGGUAGAAUUACUUUUUUAUUCUAAAUUUUACUGAUUUUUGAAGCUCGGUAUUAGAUCACAUUAACACUGAGACGGAUACUCACAAAACGUCGAGUUUUCUCGCAGAACGAGUCUUGUUUUCAUGUUUUCGUCCUACCUACAGGAAAACAUGGACACAAGAAAACUUGACAAAUAAGGUGUUUGUCAAGCUUUUGUGUUACCGUGUUGUAAUGUGUUUGCCUUGCAACACGACUUGGCAGAAAUCAGUCACCAUAGUUUAUUGAUUUCGAAAUUUACGCACAUAAGAGAUAUGUAUAGUCUAAAUCGAUCACACCAUGUACGCCGAACUUAAAUUAAUAUUCAGAGGCUUGUCAGAUGUGUGUUUUCAAAACGUUUCAAUGCACAUAAAUGUAUCUUCUGUGAAUAUGUAGAGAAUUUAUAUUCAUAUUCAUUUUUUCUUUAUAAAAAACACUCUAUAUUCAUUCGUAGCAUGACCAUGUUCCACCUUCAGGCCUCUGUAACCUUGAUCUUUGAUCGAGUGAGUCCAACAAAAGGAGUCAACUACUCUGCAUGUCUAAUCAUCCUAUGAAGUUUCAACAUUCUGGGUCAAGUGAUUCUCGAGUUAUUGUUCCAGAAAGAGUUUUUCCAUCUUCAUGCCUCUGUGACCUUUCCCUUAAGUCAAGUGACCCAAGAAAACUAAGAGUCAUCGACUUUGUUAUUCCUAACAUCGUGAUUGAAGGUUCUGGGUCAAAUGAUUCUAAUGUUAUUGGUUGGAAACUGUUUUCUGGUUCCUGUAACCCUAACUUUUGAUCAAGUGAUUCAAAAAUCAAUAGGGGUCCAUGAAGUUUCAACAUUCUGGGUCCUCAAGUUAUUGAUCAGAAAGGGGUUUCCAUGUUUAGGCCCCUGUGAUGUUUACAGGUGAUUUUUUUUAUUUUACUUUUUCUUUCUAAUGAGAUCUCAUCUUUGUAAAAGCAGGCUAUGAAUACAUUAUAAAUGUGCAUGAAUUACAUAGAUUAAAGACACUUCAUUAUAUUUACAA